AUGGAUAGCAAUUAUCUCGGGAUCAUGAGCUGUCUACGCAACGACCAGGGGGCAUAUUCUUCUCCUACCACUAACACCUUCAUCCUAUUUGAGCCAAAAUGGCUUUGGUGCCCUCUCUCUCUCAUGGUGAGGCUGUGCACGCUUGCCAUGGUUGUGGCUACGAAAUCUCACACCGAGUCGCUUCGGUCGGGCACUAUUCAGACUAAAGUGAGAGUUUCUAGCAUAUUCCUCUUUUACGGUGACGCCAGAUUCGAAUUUGAAGGCGUACUUGUCCCUGAGCUGGUGGUGCCUGAGAACAACAACGACAACAUUCUGGUGCAUCAGGGGCACACAUCGUCUCCAAGCUCUAUCGCAAGCAACGCAGGCACGCCUCAGGCUCAAAGUCCGGUUGCCGUGCAGGCGAGCGGCAGCAGCCACUUACGUCUCUUCCAAGAAGGGCGCCGCCUUGGAGGAGCAUAA
RNAcentral lists this ribosomal RNA (459 nucleotides) under Triticum aestivum (bread wheat). Its description in RNAcentral is "partial small subunit ribosomal RNA". The record is from RNAcentral. Lineage: Eukaryota; Viridiplantae; Streptophyta; Magnoliopsida; Poales; Poaceae.